CCUACGGGUGGCAGCAGUGAGGAAUAUUGGUCAAUGGACGAGAGUCUGAACCAGCCAAGUAGCGUGAAGGAUGACUGCCCUAUGGGUUGUAAACUUCUUUUAUAUGGGAAUAAAGCGCUCCACGUGUGGGAUUUUGUAUGUACCAUAUGAAUAAGGAUCGGCUAAUUCCGUGCCAGCAGCCGCGGUAAUACGGAGGAUCCGAGCGUUAUCCGGAUUUAUUGGGUUUAAAGGGAGCGUAGGUGGAUUGUUAAGUCAGUUGUGAAAGUUUGCGGCUCAACCGUAAAAUUGCAGUUGAAACUGGCAGUCUUGAGUACAGUAGAGGUGGGCGGAAUUCGUGGUGUAGCGGUGAAAUGCUUAGAUAUCACGAAGAACUCCGAUUGCGAAGGCAGUUCACUGGACUGCAACUGACACUGAGGCUCGAAAGUGUGGGUAUCAAACAGGAUUAGAUACCCUUGUAGUC
This 460-nucleotide ribosomal RNA is filed under the name uncultured bacterium. RNAcentral describes it as "partial 16S ribosomal RNA". It matches the Rfam family "Bacterial small subunit ribosomal RNA", at positions 338 to 795 of the family's 1533-position model. The record is from RNAcentral.